GAAUUGCUUCCGAGGAGAUGCCGGAACAUCACGAGAAUUUAGCGGAACCAUCAUAUGCUGAGCUUGACAGAUUGAAACAGCACAUUUUAAAAGGUCCGGAACCAAUCGUUGUGUUAGAAAGAUUGCAAGGAAGCGAAAUCGAUGAAAUGGCGAAAAAUGUGCAGAGCCUGUCUAAAGAAAGAACAAGU
Molecule: long non-coding RNA, 188 nt
Organism: Uloborus diversus
Lineage: Eukaryota; Metazoa; Arthropoda; Arachnida; Araneae; Uloboridae
Exons: 4
Source: RefSeq, a predicted model, not a curated record